GAAGACUGAUAUGGUGUAAUUGGAAGCACACAAUCGAAAGAUUGAGGCGAGGGUUCGAAUCCCGAACAGCUUCU
This 74-nucleotide transfer RNA is filed under the name Clostridiales bacterium. Its description in RNAcentral is "tRNA-OTHER". Lineage: Bacteria; Bacillati; Bacillota; Clostridia; Eubacteriales. The record is from RNAcentral.